This 253-nucleotide ribosomal RNA is filed under the name uncultured bacterium. RNAcentral describes it as "partial 16S ribosomal RNA". It matches the Rfam family "Bacterial small subunit ribosomal RNA", at positions 524 to 776 of the family's 1533-position model. The record is from RNAcentral.
UACGGAGGGUGCAAGCGUUAUCCGGAUUCACUGGGUUUAAAGGGUGCGUAGGUGGGUUGCCAAGUCCGUGGUGAAAUCCCCGAGCUUAACUCGGGAACUGCCGUGGAUACUGGUAGCCUUGAAUAUCGUGGAGGUAAGCGGAAUAUGUCAUGUAGCGGUGAAAUGCAUAGAUAUGACAUAGAACACCAAUAGCGAAGGCAGCUUACUACACGAUCAUUGACGCUGAGGCACGAAAGCGUGGGGAGCAAACAGG